GGUGGUUCUCAGGUGAUGCACCCUGGAAUCAGGCUCCCUCCCCGGGGUGUGUCACCCAAGAACCACA
Myotis brandtii (Brandt's bat) is the source of this 67-nucleotide non-coding RNA. The record is from Rfam. Lineage: Eukaryota; Metazoa; Chordata; Mammalia; Chiroptera; Vespertilionidae.